RNAcentral lists this ribosomal RNA (927 nucleotides) under uncultured archaeon. RNAcentral describes it as "bacterial SSU rRNA". It matches the Rfam family "Archaeal small subunit ribosomal RNA", at positions 1 to 925 of the family's 1478-position model. The record is from RNAcentral.
UUCCGGUUGAUCCUGCGGAGGCCACUGCUAUGGGGGUCCGACUAAGCCAUGCGAGUCAUGGGGCGCGCUCUGCGCGCACCGGCGGACGGCUCAGUAACACGUCGGUAACCUACCCUCGGGAGGGGGAUAACCCCGGGAAACUGGGGCUAAUCCCCCAUAGGCCUGAGGUACUGGAAGGUCCUCAGGCCGAAAGGGGCUUUUGCCCGCCCGAGGAUGGGCCGGCGGCCGAUUAGGUAGUUGGUGGGGUAACGGCCCACCAAGCCGAAGAUCGGUACGGGCCAUGAGAGUGGGAGCCCGGAGAUGGACACUGAGACACGGGUCCAGGCCCUACGGGGCGCAGCAGGCGCGAAACCUCCGCAAUGCUCGAAAGAGCGACGGGGGGACCCCCAGUGCCGUGGCAUCGCCACGGCUUUUCCGGAGUGUAAAAAGCUCCGGGAAUAAGGGCUGGGCAAGGCCGGUGGCAGCCGCCGCGGUAAUACCGGCGGCCCGAGUGGUGGCCGCUAUUAUUGGGCCUAAAGCGUCCGUAGCCGGGCUUGUAAGUCCCUGGCGAAAUCCCACGGCUCAACCGUGGGGCUUGCUGGGGAUACUGCAAGCCUUGGGACCGGGAGAGGCCGGGGGUACUCCUGGGGUAGGGGUGAAAUCCUAUAAUCCCAGGAGGACCGCCAGUGGCGAAGGCGCCCGGCUGGAACGGGUCCGACGGUGAGGGACGAAGGCCAGGGGAGCGAACCGGAUUAGAUACCCGGGUAGUCCUGGCUGUAAAGGAUGCGGGCUAGGUGUCGGGCGAGCUCCGAGCUCGCCCGGUGCCGCAGGGAAGCCGUUAAGCCCGCCGCCUGGGGAGUACGGCCGCAAGGCGGAAACUUAAAGGAAUUGGCGGGGGAGCACUACAAGGGAAAGGGCGUGCGGUUUAAUUGGAUCAACGCCGGAAAU